GGGUUGUAAACUGCUUUUAUAUAGGAAGAAACCCCCGAACGUGUUCGGGGCUGACGGUACUAUAAGAAUAAGGACCGGCUAACUCCGUGCCAGCAGCCGCGGUAAUACGGAGGGUCCAAGCGUUAUCCGGAUUUAUUGGGUUUAAAGGGUACGUAGGCGGAGUUUUAAGUCAGUAGUGAAAGCCCAUCGCUUAACGAUGGAACUGCUAUUGAUACUGAUACUCUUGAAUAUAGUUGAAGUGGGCGGAAUACGGCAUGUAGCGGUGAAAUGCAUAGAUAUGCCGUGGAACACCAAUCGCGAAGGCAGCUCACUAAGCUAUUAUUGACGCUAAUGUACGAAAGCGUGGGUAGCGAACAGGAUUAGAUACCCUGGUAGUCCACGCCGUAAACGAUGAUUACUCGGUGCUGGCGAUAUACAGUCAGUGCCUAAGCGAAAGUGAUAAGUAAUCCACCUGGGGAGUACGAUCGCAAGGUUGAAACUCAAAGGAAUUGACGGGGGCCCGCACAAGCGGUGGAGCAUGUGGUUUAAUUCGAUGAUACGCGAGGAACCUUACCUGGGCUUAAAUGCAUAAUGACAGACUGGGAAACCAGUUUUUCUUCGGACAGAAUGCAAGGUGCUGCAUGGCUGUCGUCAGCUCGUGCUGUGAGGUGUCGGGUUAAGUCCCAUAACGAGCGCAACCCCUAUUUCUAGUUGCCAGCACAUAAUGGUGGGGACUCUAGAGAAACUGCCCGCGCAAGCGGUGAGGAAGGUGGGGACGACGUCAAGUCAUCACGGCCCUUACGUCCAGGGCUACACACGUGCUACAAUGGUAGGGACAGAGGGCAGCCACUCGGUGACGAGGAGCUAAUCCUAAAACCCUAUCUCAGUUCGGAUUGAAGUCUGCAACUCGACUUCAUGAAGCUGGAAUCGCUAGUAAUCGGAUAUCAGCCACGAUCCGGUGAAUACGUUCCCGGGCCUUGUACACACCGCCCGUCAAGCCAUGGAAGCUGAGGGUGCCUGAAGUCGGUAACCGCAAGGAGCCGCCUAGGGUAAAAUCGGUAACUGGGGCUAAGUCGUAACAAGGUAGCCGUACCGGAAGGUGCGGCUG
RNAcentral lists this ribosomal RNA (1087 nucleotides) under marine metagenome. Its description in RNAcentral is "bacterial SSU rRNA". It matches the Rfam family "Bacterial small subunit ribosomal RNA", at positions 420 to 1520 of the family's 1533-position model. The record is from RNAcentral.